Ribosomal RNA from Lupinus angustifolius (narrow-leaved blue lupine), 119 nucleotides. Lineage: Eukaryota; Viridiplantae; Streptophyta; Magnoliopsida; Fabales; Fabaceae. The record is from Rfam.
AAGUGCGAUCAUACCAUUACUAAUGCACCAGAUCCUCUCAGAACUCUGCAGUAAAGUGUGCUUGGGAAAAAGUAGUACUAGGAUGGGUGACUUACUAGGAAGUCCUCGUGUUUCACCUC